RNAcentral lists this ribosomal RNA (460 nucleotides) under uncultured bacterium. RNAcentral's name for it is "partial 16S ribosomal RNA". It matches the Rfam family "Bacterial small subunit ribosomal RNA", at positions 338 to 795 of the family's 1533-position model. The record is from RNAcentral.
CCUACGGGAGGCAGCAGUGAGGAAUAUUGGUCAAUGGACGCGAGUCUGAACCAGCCAUGCCGCGUGCAGGAAGACGGCUCUAUGAGUUGUAAACUGCUUUUGUACGAGGGUAAACGCAGAUACGCGUAUCUGUCUGAAAGUAUCGUACGAAUAAGGAUCGGCUAACUCCGUGCCAGCAGCCGCGGUAAUACGGAGGAUUCAAGCGUUAUCCGGAUUUAUUGGGUUUAAAGGGUGCGUAGGCGGUCGGAUAAGUUAGAGGUGAAAUCCCGCGGCUCAACUGCGGAAUUGCAUCUGAAACUGGUCGGCUUGAGAGUAGCUGAGGUAGGCGGAAUGUAUGGUGUAGCGGUGAAAUGCUUAGAGAUCAUACAGAACACCGAUUGCGAAGGCAGCUUACCAAGGUACUUCUGACGUUGAGGCACGAAAGCGCGGGGAUCAAACAGGAUUAGAUACCCGAGUAGUC